AUUUUAGGAGUCUUGCCCUCAGUUGCCCACCGCCUUGGGAGUUUGCUGAGUUCUACAAGUUUGAGGAAUUAUGUACCACAGAAAGACGGACGGCCUCCGCCGUGGGAAUUAACGACGAUUCCCGGGACUCUCACACCCCACCCCCAGCCCACAGUGCUGUGGGUCCCAGCUACUGUGGAAGACUGGAGGCUGCGUGGAGCCCAUGGCCCGUGGACCCAGUGCACGCGUGUGUCAUGCAGCUGCGCCAGGACCCAGCCUCCAAGUCUGCGCACCCACGGAGCUGCAGGGGCUGUGGAGAAAGGGUUGAGCGGGUGUCCCAGGCGGCGGCUGGACCCAGGCAGGAGAGGCCCAACCGCCCAAGCAGGAGGUGCCCAAGAGGAGUGCAUUCCUUUAGCAUCGUCACUCCACAACCCCCCCCCCAUUCCUCUCUCCUGGGACCUUUUUGUAUCCAUGCACAGCUGGGGGCUCCCUCACCCCCCACCCCUGGGCCUCCCCAUACAGAAUAAAGUCAGUCUGUAUUUAAUGGUUAUGGCGGAUGUGAGAGGGAUUUGGCAGAGGCAGAAGAGAGGCCUUUGGCUCUCAAAUAUCGCUCCUUACGUCGUGUGAGUCUACCAACCCACCACGACCCCAUAUUCUUGUGUGGGUGUCUGACUCGAAUGACAAGCGAGCUGAUUUUUUCAGUACAUAGCUGGGAAAUGUAGUGAGUGAUAAUAGAGAUUUCUCUUUCAUUUUUUACGCUUGACUUGGUUAUUGUUGCUUUUCUUUUCCCGUGAUUCCUUCUGAGGAUUAGCUCUGACUUCCCCACUAUUGGCGGUCAAAGUGGCCCCGACUUGGGAUGACAAUUGACGGGGAUCAAGGGAUUGCCCAUUCUGUGCCUGUAAGAACGGAUUCGUGCCAGAGAAACUCAUCAAGUGGAGGCAGAGAAUAAAGACCGUUCGGGGGUAAAUGUAUUCAUUGAGAAGGGUUCUCCCAAAUUGCUUCUAAGUUUUUUUAAUGAAAAGUAACGAUUGCAGCAAUCAGCAGCUUUUUGGCGGAUUACAAAUCUGGAGGGAGCUGUGGCGCUGCAUUGAAAAGUUCCCCCCGCCUUCGCACAGGGCAGCCGGUUCACAGGAGCAGUACUAGGGUGGGGGUCCAGUCGCCAGACAAAGGCGGGAACAGGCGAGCGGAGGAGGGUGCCUCUGGGGUGCUCGAGCGAGCACACCCAGUAACUGGACGAAGGGUCUUCCACCUUGGUGGCACUUGUGUGGCGGGGAUCCCCGGAGGAAGAUGAGGGGCAGGGUGCUGGGGAAGUGCCAAGAGAGAUCAAUCCCACCACUGAGUGGGAUUACGCCACUGAGUAAAUUCCAGGCAUCUGGAACCAGGAAGGUGCACUAGAAGAGCAGGUGACCACAGAAGGCAGAGGAACAGAAGGUGCCUCCUCGUCCCCCACCUCCACCUCGGACCUAUGAAUGCUAGUUCUUCUUUUGGGGACAUGUUAUUUUGCAAACUGGAACCAAAGCGUGGCUGGGUCUGGGAGGAUCUUACCUAGGUGUUAUGGGCAGGAGGAGGGAAAGCUGGGUCUCCUCCUUCUCCAAGGAGGGGGCGGAACCCCCGACUGCAGUACCCUGAUCAGCUGGACUCAUACCAGUGCGAAUGAUGCUUCCAUAUACUUUGAUAUGGCUCACACCAGUCCUCUUUGCCACUGAGGAACCGGAAUGCAUGCCCUCACCCUCAUAGAAUCCUGGUGUGCAGUCUCCAGACCUGCAGGCAGGCAGGCCCAAGCGGAGGGGCUCCAAACCCCAGGACUGGGAGAGUUGCC
Molecule: long non-coding RNA, 1798 nt
Filed under: Bos grunniens (domestic yak)
Lineage: Eukaryota; Metazoa; Chordata; Mammalia; Artiodactyla; Bovidae
Description: lncRNA (ENSBGRG00000006901.1)
Source: RNAcentral